UAUGAUGCCUUUUAGUGCUCUUUUCCUUUAAGUAUUUAGAGUCAUUAUCCAUAUUGUCCUGGUUCUACUGGUUCUGCUUGCUUUGGUCUGAAGUGAUUCAUGUAAAUCUUCCCAAAUUUUUCUGAAUUAUUAUUUGCCUUUUCUUAGUGCAUAAUAAUACUCUAGUAUAUGUACCAUAAUUUUCUAAACCAUUCUUCCAAUUGCUGGACACCCACCUUAUUUCCAAUUUAUCCUGGCACCAAAGAAAGUACUGCUAAGAAGAUUCUGGUCUACAGGGGAUCUUUCCUUUCUAUUUCUGACCUUUUGGGGGUAUAUACUCAGGCAUAGUAUCUUUGAGUCAAUGGGUAUUAAUACUUUAGUGAUUUUUUUCUAGAAUAGAUCUAAAUCAUUUCCCAGAAAGUUCACCCAAAUUCACAGAGACACAAACAAUUAAUGUGUAAUUCUUUGCCCACAGUUUCAUUAAAUACUGGCUUUCUAUUUUCAGUUAUCAGCUGGUUUAUAGAGUAUGAAGUAAAAGCUCAGAGAUUUACAAAUUUGCAUUUCUCUUAAUUUUAGUGUGCUGGAACAUCUUUUUCUAUAAUUAGACAAUUACUUUUCCUAGAUAAUCUUUCCUUCAUUGAUAUCUGUUAUACUCUUGGCUCCCCAAGUAUUUGACACAAGUAUAUGGUUUUGUGAGUUGCUACUGCCAGAAAAAAAUGCCUGGUGAUGAGUCUUUGCAAAUUGUGUUAAUUUUGUCCUCAGAUGGAUAAGGAUUAGAACUGUGAUUUCAUUGGUUUAGGAAACUCUAUGGUGAGGAUUUUUCUUCCACUAAUGCCAAUCUGUAUUUUCUCUUACUUAUAUUCUCAAUUUCCCAGAACACUGAGUGAUUUUUGUCCAGAGUCACACAGACAAGGUAUGUCAGAAGUAAGACAUUGAUAGAGGUCAUCCUGACUUUGAGACCAACUCUCUAGCCACUUUUUUAGUCCUCCAACACAUAAUCUGGAUAUAUUCCUGAAGCUGUAAAAAAGCUUACACUCUGUUAGGACAGUAAGAUAUAUAUACAAAAAUAAUUAAGAAGGUGGAUUGUGGUAAGACUGAAAGAAACAGUCAGUUGUCAAAUCAUUGUUAACCUACCUCCGACUUUUGUAGCCGUGUCGCCUUCUCUAAUCAUAUUCUUUCUAGGUUACUUGAAGCCACCAUCACUUGUUUUCUUAACUUUUUAAAUAACUUCCAAAUAGAUCUCUUUGCUUCCACUCUCUCAACUCUCUGUCUCAUCCUUUACAUAGUUACCAAAAUAGUCUUCUAAUGCAUAGGUCCCAUCAUGUCAUCUCUCUGCCCCAAAGCCUUCACAGAAACCAGUCUCCAAACUUCCUUUCCAGUCAUUUCACAUUACUAUCUUUUGUUAACCUUAUAUUCCAACUAGACUGACUUUUAGUAUUUUCUAUGGUAAGAUAAUAGUCUAUGCCAUUUUUAGGAGUAACGACAUGGAUGAAAUCCCAGAUUUUUUGGAGUUUGAGUGUUGGUAUUUUAAAUGAAAAAGUCUUGAUGAGAUAGUCAUUUAAGACUGUGAAUCUUAAAGAGAUUCACCUAUAAUCACGCCAGAAGAAAUUAAUUCAGUGACAUGACAACACCUUCAUAAAUUUUAGUGUCUCUCUGCUCCCUUUUGUAGAUUUCAUCAUCACAACCUGAAGAAUUCAAGAGUUCUACAAGAAUAAGAAAAUAGCUGGGAAGGAAAUUUGGGAGAAAAAUGAAACUCAUUACCCAAAUGCAAGAUUCUUUUAAAAUUAAUUAUUGGCAUCAUUGUUGAAUGGAAGAGGGGAAAAUUCUCCUUAUUGGUCAGGAUGUGACAGGAGAAAAUCCAGACACAUAUCCAAGAGAUAAUUUCUUUGCUGGAGUGCUGACUAUGUUUACAGAAGCAAAUGUCAAGGCAAACCACAUUCAGUCUGAUUGGAAUUAUGCAUAAUUUCAGCACUAUCAUCAUGGGUGAAACAAAAUGGAAGAGUGAUUCCCAACAUGAUUAUGCUUUGCAAUCUAGUAGAUGAAGAAAAGCCAAUGAAACAAAACAACAAAAUUCUAUGAGGCUACUAGAUUUUUGAGAAGAGAAUGACAACAAAAUGUGGGUAUUAUUUGGAAAGAAGAAAGAUCCCUGAAAGACACAUCUAAAAAGGCAACCAUCUUAAACGAAAUUCUGAUGACUUUGAGUGCAUUUUUCUUCAUACUCUUGUAAUUGUUACAUAUUAUCUUUAUUCUGCUUUUUAAAAAAACGGCAUCAUUGCAUAUAUCUUCAUAAUUUUCUGUGAAUCCCUCACAGUCAGACCAACUCACAUUCAGUGGAAAUGGAGUCAUGAAUAACUCCAAGAGUAUCUCUGAGUGAAAAAAAUGGAAGAAUGAUCUCAACGUGAAUACAUUCUUCAUUCUGGUGGACAGAGAAAAACAAAGAAUUCAGAACAUAAUGGGGGAACUUAAUUUUUGAAAAUGGAAUGAGAACAUAAUGUAUACAUUAGUUGGAAGAAAAAACACAGUGAAAUGAUUUCCUAUCUUGUCCUUCUUUUGAAGUAGCCAAUAUAAGCAUUAUUACAGCCCUUUUUUAAAGAUGAAGAUACUGAGUGUCUCAGAUUAAGUGGCUUGCUCUUAUUCAUGGAGUCUAAGGCAGAGUUCAGGCUAGAACCCAACCCUUAAUCCACGUCGAAUGCUCUUUUUUCAUACAUUAAAUAGUUUCAUUUAUUCCAAAUUCUUCAAGGAUCUUUGAUUUUGUUGUUUUGGAUACUGCCUCCACUAACACAGAUUGCACAUCCUUUAUGACUUAGCUGGUAGUCUAAAAAAUGAGCGUGGUUGAACUUGCUGACCUUGACGAUCUCUUUCAUCUUUAAAUCUACGUUUUUAUGAUAUUUUGGCUAGAGUGGCCAUUGAGGGAAAAGUUAUACGAUCCAUCACCCAGUCCCAUAGUUGAAGCCAUUCUUAUUUGUUAGGGUCUACCUCAAUUUGUACCCAUUUGGGUACCCAUAUGUCAAGAUGGGGCAAUGAAACAUGAUGUGAAUAGAAUGUCUUCUCUCAUUUUGUUAACAUGUUCUAAUGGAUGAGACAUGGGAAAUCAGCCCAGCUUUGGGUUUGGGUUUUUUAUUUCCAUGGCCACAUAGAGUUUACAAAUUUUGGUCCGAGAAUCAACAUUUUAAAUAGAAAUUCAUUUAUUAGAAUGAUUUCUUCCACAGCAAGAGAGGCACCAGGCAAUUUGAAAGUUGGGGCCUGUCUCAGAAUAGGCUUGCUGGAGAGCAUAGGAAGAAUGUGGCCCUUGCUUCCCAGUUUUCCCUAAGGCUGCUUUUUGUGAGACCACUCACUACAUCAUUAGCUACAAAAAAACUUUUAGAGAUGAUGAGAUAGCCGAGAGGCUAAAUCAAUUCCUUCCUUCAGCCUUUAUUAAGAAAGCAGUUAAGGAGAUUCCCUCUCCCAAAAUGGUUUUAGAAACUUGAAGGUCAAAUGCAUUAGAACAAAUAGGGAUGAAGGCACAGCAUGUUCUAGACCUAAUUGACAAGCCUGAUGUAAAUAAAUCACUGAUCCUAAGCGGCUUUUGGCCAAGAGUUCUGAAGGACCAUAAGGUGAAAUUAUGGAACCAUUAGCCAAAUGUUCAAGAUGCUCAAGAUGUUCAAAUGCUCAAGAUGAUGCUAGAAUGUGCCAAGUAACUGGGGGCAGGUAACAAAGUCCAUCCUGUGCCUUCCAUAGAGAUCAUGGCUUUGUCAUCCAUCUGCUUGUCACAUCUAUUCUGGCUUUUCAUCUUCAUUACUUUUCUUGGGCCAUAGCAGAAGAACUCAAAUGGCCCCAGAGCAUUAGUAUAAGCUGACUCGUGUAGAAUUGCAAGCAUCUACGUAUAGUCAAGACUUAAAAAACCUAAGUGCUCACUAAAAAGACAACAUAAAAGAAUGCUGGACUUGGACUCAGGUUCAAAUUCUAUAUCUGUCACUAAUUAUAGGCAGAUUGCAUGGUGGAUAGUGUGCUGGAACUGGAUGCCAGGAAGUCCUGAGUUCAACUUCAUCCUCAGACACUUACUAGCUGUAUGACCCUGGGCAAGUCACUUAACCUUUGAUUCAGUUUCCUCAUCUCUAAAAUGGGGAUAAAGAAUUAUUGUGAGUACGGAAUAUUGAAGUGUUUUUUUUUCUGCAAACCUCAAAACUCUGUAGAAUGCUGGUUACUAUUAAUGUUGUUAUUAUUAUGAUUCUUAAUUGUGUGAACAUCUCCAUGUCACUUAUUUUGGGUGUUUAUUGGACCUGAGUUCAAAUUUGAUCUUAGACAUAGCUUUGUGACCUUGGACAAGUCACUUAACUGAAGAUGUGUGUAAUAAUAGUCCUGACCUCACAAGACUGUUGUGAGGCUCCAAUGGGAUGAUAUCGGUAAAAGCACUUAGUACAGUGCCUGGCACAUAGUAGACACUCUAUAAAUACACAUUCCCUUCCCUUCCUUUCCUUCCUACAUUGUGGUGCCUAGAAAUGAACUGAUGCAAUAGGAGUAUAGACUCCUACCACUUCAUUCCUGGAAGCUAUGCCUCUCUUAAAAGCCCAGGAAUGAGUUCCAUUUUUUUUGGUUGCCAAAUAAGACUCUAUAGACUCACCAUGGACUUUCACUUUUCACUUUGCUAAAAGUCUCAGAUGUUUUUUUUUCAGAUAAACUGUUGUCUAAGUAUGCUUCUUCCAUCUUGUGCUUAUACUUAUGAUUUUUUGAACCAAACUGUGAGUCUUUACAUUUAAUUCCCAUUAAGUUUCAUCAUACCAGAGGGAAACUAGAUAAUUCAGUGGAUUGAGAUCCAGGUCUUCAGCUGAGAGGUCCUGGGUUCAAAACUAGCCUCAGACAUUUCCUAGCUGUGUGAUCCUGGGCAAGUCACUUAAACUUGAUUGCCUAGCCUUGUCUUUCUGUUCUAGAGUUGAUACUAAGACAGAAAGUAAAAAGUAAAAGUUAAAAGUGUGGUCUUAGUGGAUUUACUUCAGUAUUGUAGUCUUCAGAGGUUUGGAAUCCAAAGGAGAAAAAAAAACAUUUUGGGAAAAUCUAUGAGAAAAUAGAUAAACAGGGUUUAAAAAAAUUACUCUUUUCCGAUAUUGUUAAUAUCAACUGAAUCAUACAAUGAUCGUGUUUCUCAUAAAACUGGUUUAGGAACAGAACUGAUAUCUUCUGUAGUAGUAAACCAAGUCAUUUCAAAUUUUCAUUUUAUUUGCUGUCUAAUUUUCAUGCACAUGGCAUAACAAUAAAGCCACAGGGGAAUCUUUGAAA
Molecule: non-coding RNA, 5232 nt
Organism: Monodelphis domestica (gray short-tailed opossum)
Lineage: Eukaryota; Metazoa; Chordata; Mammalia; Didelphimorphia; Didelphidae
Source: RefSeq, a predicted model, not a curated record